GAUGCGAGGUUUUCUACUCAGGCUGUUUGAGAAGCAAAUUUUUCCAUUGUGUAUAUUGAGCUUCUGUGGACUUCUUUUUGGAAUAUGGUGAGAAAGUGCCUACUACUCCUUUGCUCUCCAACACUCAGAAAAUGCUCUGCAAAUCCAUGAACACAGAAGGCUGCUUAUCUAUUUCACUGGAGCUAAAAAUGUUCAACAGCCACAUCCUUGACCUUGGAGAUCUCUAAGCUCAGAGGCCCUUGGAGAUCUUUCCACAGGAUCUCCUGCCCCAGUUUCAGAAUAGUGGGAGUCAGGGGAGACUGGAACAGAGAUGACAAUUGCAGCUGGGCAGGAAGGCCCUGAGGGCACUUAGCAGUCACCCUGGAGUUGUAAAUGGCAGAGCCUCGCCAGCUACAGACCCGCCAGCCAGUUGCACAGCAUACAUCAAAGGCUCGAGAUGCCCGGCUGUGGGUUUAAAUGGAGCCCAGGUGUAGCCUGCAAACUCCCUCUCUUCUCCCCCACUGAGCUACACCUCCACUUUACACGCUGAGCUUGGCAACCUCAGCACGACCAAGGCUGUGGGGUCAGAGUUGCUCUCAGUCUUGCCAGCUAGGAACGCUCAGUUAGGCUUGGUGAUUAGAACCCACCCUAUGAAUAGAGCAGAGAUGCUGUGUUAGACCAACUACUGUUCCAGAAUCAAGUGAUUCGGAUCAUGUGUGUAAGCAAAUAAAAAGUUCAAUGUUGUGAAUUGAGAAAAAAUUUACGUACCUCCUUAUUACAAAUUUCAAGCAGAAGAGAUAAGUACGAAGAAUACAAAAUCACUUAAAACUCCACCAUACGGAAACAACCAUCACAAACAUUUUGUUCAUUUUCAUUCCAUAUAUCUCUCAAUGCAAAUACACAGAUGGAAAAAAGAAUGGAAGGAAGAACUGAAGAAUGGAUGGAUGGGUGGAAGGAUGGACAGAUGGACAGAUAGAUGGGUAGGCAGGUGAGUCCGUAGAUGGGCACACAAGUUAUAGAUGUAAUUCUAGAAAUAAUCCUACAGUACAUGUUAUUUUGAACUGAAAAUGUGUUCCUUCUCUUUAGAAACUAUUACCUGUUGCUUUCUUCCUGUAAGUACAGGAGUAAGAUAUUCUUAAUGCAGAAACCUGGAGAUCAUAGAACACAAACUAAAAAAUGCACUCAUAUUCCACCACCAGAAGAUUACUGUUAACAUAUAUGCAUACGUAUGUAUAUAGGUAUGUUAUGGACUGAAUGAUAUCACCCCAUAAUUCACGUGUCAAAGCCCUAAUCUUCAAUGUGACUGUAUUUGGAGACAAGGCCUUUAAAGAAGUAAUUAAGGUUAAAUGAGGUCAUAAGGCCCCUAAUCCAGUAGGGCUGAUAUCCUUAUAAGAGGAGGAAGAGACACCAGAGAUCUCUCUCUCUCUCUCUCCAUGUGUGUACAGAGAAAAGGUCAUGUGAGGACACAGUGAGAAGGUGGCCGUCUGCAAGUAAGGAAGAGAGCCCUCACCAGAAACCAACCCUGUUGGCACUCUGAUCUUAGACUUCCAGCCUCCAAAACUGUGAGAAAAUAAGUAUCUGUUGUGUGAUCCAUCCAGCCUGUAUUACUUUAUGGCAGCCCAAACAGACUCAAACAAAAUACAAUGUAAUAUUUAGCAAUGCACCUCUGUCACCUACCUCCAUGGUCCCUUUUUCAGUCUUUAUUCUGUUCAGUGGCCAAGGGCCAAGGACUCCCUGUGAUGCCAGCCUCUGGGCACCAGAAUGGAACUACUCAAAAGGGCAACAGCAGCCCCGCAGGCCUCCCCAUCCUCCCACCCAGUGUAGGCUCAGUAAUAACUGAGUCUUCAUAGCUACAAUGCCUUGAACCAGAUUUUAAAACAAACAAACCAUGCAUGAAAUUGAUACAAAAAAUAAAAUGCUGCUUAAGUCUG
RNAcentral lists this long non-coding RNA (1910 nucleotides) under Homo sapiens (human). RNAcentral's name for it is "HSALNT0043398". The record is from RNAcentral. Lineage: Eukaryota; Metazoa; Chordata; Mammalia; Primates; Hominidae.